UGGAUGCUGCGUCUUGUAAGAAAGAGGGAGGAGGCGAUACUUAUAAAAAGAGCAGCAAACCAACUGUAGUCAGUCAUAGACGUGUCGUAGUUGCUUUUUGAAUUGACGACAUCAUUCGGCCAUCCUUCCAAUAAAGAAACGAAGUCGAGGGACAUAAUGGCAGCCGUCGUUCAAAAGUCGUCGUCCAUCCUCUUCUUCUUAUCCGUUUGGAUUUCUUUCUUUGUGGUGGUGUCGAGCCAGGCAAGUGAUGGCAAGAAAAUCGCGCUGGGCAACAUCCAUCUUUGCAUGAUGAAUUGCGGUCAAUGUAAGGAAAUGUACGGCGAUUACUUUGAAGGGCAACGCUUGCGCCGAGUUCUGCUUGGCCAGCUACAAGCCAUCAGCGAUGAUCAGUGGCUGGGCACCGAUGCCUGACUGCAACGAGCCCGAAACGGUGGAUCAAUUCCUCAAACUGUCGCUGAUGCCUCAAUCGGACGGCCCAUCAGCC
RNAcentral lists this unclassified non-coding RNA (484 nucleotides) under Daphnia magna. Its description in RNAcentral is "uncharacterized LOC116928259, transcript variant X1". The record is from RNAcentral. Lineage: Eukaryota; Metazoa; Arthropoda; Branchiopoda; Diplostraca; Daphniidae.